GACUCUGUAGCUCAGUUGGUUAGAGCGCUGCACCGGAAUCGCAGGGCCGUAGGUUCAAUUCCUACCAGAGGAC
This 73-nucleotide transfer RNA is filed under the name Paramuricea clavata. RNAcentral's name for it is "tRNA-Ser". It matches the Rfam family "tRNA". Rfam says of the family: Transfer RNA (tRNA) molecules are approximately 80 nucleotides in length. Their secondary structure includes four short double-helical elements and three loops (D, anti-codon, and T loops). Further hydrogen bonds mediate the characteristic L-shaped molecular structure. tRNAs have two regions of fundamental functional importance: the anti-codon, which is responsible for specific mRNA codon recognition, and the 3' end, to which the tRNAs corresponding amino acid is attached (by aminoacyl-tRNA synthetases). tRNAs cope with the degeneracy of the genetic code in two manners: having more than one tRNA (with a specific anti-codon) for a particular amino acid; and 'wobble' base-pairing, i.e. permitting non-standard base-pairing at the 3rd anti-codon position. Lineage: Eukaryota; Metazoa; Cnidaria; Anthozoa; Malacalcyonacea; Plexauridae. The record is from RNAcentral.